RNAcentral lists this ribosomal RNA (460 nucleotides) under uncultured bacterium. RNAcentral describes it as "partial 16S ribosomal RNA". It matches the Rfam family "Bacterial small subunit ribosomal RNA", at positions 338 to 795 of the family's 1533-position model. The record is from RNAcentral.
CCUACGGGUGGCAGCAGUGAGGAAUAUUGGUCAAUGGACGAGAGUCUGAACCAGCCAAGUAGCGUGAAGGAUGACUGCCCUAUGGGUUGUAAACUUCUUUUAUAUGGGAAUAAAAUGUUCCACGUGUGGGAUUUUGUAUGUACCAUAUGAAUAAGGAUCGGCUAACUCCGUGCCAGCAGCCGCGGUAAUACGGAGGAUCCGAGCGUUAUCCGGAUUUAUUGGGUUUAAAGGGAGCGUAGGUGGAUUGUUAAGUCAGUUGUGAAAGUUUGCGGCUCAACCGUAAAAUUGCAGUUGAAACUGGCAGUCUUGAGUACAGUAGAGGUGGGCGGAAUUCGUGGUGUAGCGGUGAAAUGCUUAGAUAUCACGAAGAACUCCGAUUGCGAAGGCAGUUCACUGGACUGCAACCGACACUGAGGCUCGAAAGUGUGGGUAUCAAACAGGAUUAGAUACCCUAGUAGUC